RNAcentral lists this ribosomal RNA (477 nucleotides) under uncultured bacterium. RNAcentral's name for it is "bacterial SSU rRNA". It matches the Rfam family "Bacterial small subunit ribosomal RNA", at positions 355 to 850 of the family's 1533-position model. The record is from RNAcentral.
UGGGGAAUAUUGGACAAUGGGGGCAACCCUGAUCCAGCGAUGCCGCGUGAGUGAUGAAGGCCUUAGGGUUGUAAAACUCUUUCAGUAGGGAAGAUAAUGACGGUACCUACAGAAGAAGUUCCGGCUAACUCCGUGCCAGCAGCCGCGGUAAUACGGAGGGAACUAGCGUUGUUCGGAAUUACUGGGCGUAAAGCGUGCGUAGGCGGCUUUGCAAGUAGAGGGUGAAAUCCCAGAGCUCAACUCUGGAACUGCCCCCUAAACUGCAGAGCUAGAAUCCUGGAGAGGUGAGUGGAAUUCCUAGUGUAGAGGUGAAAUUCGUAGAUAUUAGGAAGAACACCAGUGGCGAAGGCGACUCACUGGACAGGUAUUGACGCUGAGGUACGAAAGCGUGGGGAGCGAACAGGAUUAGAUACCCUGGUAGUCCACGCCGUAAACGAUGGGUGCUAGGUGUUGGGUAGCUUGCUAUUCAGUGCCGAA